RNAcentral lists this unclassified non-coding RNA (338 nucleotides) under Hevea brasiliensis (rubber tree). The record is from RNAcentral. Lineage: Eukaryota; Viridiplantae; Streptophyta; Magnoliopsida; Malpighiales; Euphorbiaceae.
UUCUGAUUUUGAAUAACUACUUUUCUGUUUCUGUUCUGUUUUCUGCAUUUUCUGGUUGUUCAUAAUGGUUUUGCAUGUUUAUUUUCUCUCGUCUUGGCUGAUGCAAUCCUCAUCUGGGUAAAUAGUGUCUAUUUCUGAUCUGCUCAUGGUACAAAAAGGUUCUUUUAUGUGGUUGAAUUGGGCUCAUAUCCAAGUUUGCUCAUAUCCGUUGCUUUUUUGGUUCAUGGCUUUUUACUGUUUCUUGAUCACUCAUGCCUUUGGUCUGUGUUGAUCAAUUCUUGACAUAUGCGUGUGGUUAAUUGGUCUAAUUUCUGAUAGGGAGAAAUAUUUUGUUUCUG